This 556-nucleotide ribosomal RNA is filed under the name Zeugodacus tau. RNAcentral describes it as "partial 16S ribosomal RNA". It matches the Rfam family "Bacterial large subunit ribosomal RNA", at positions 1796 to 2620 of the family's 2925-position model. The record is from RNAcentral. Lineage: Eukaryota; Metazoa; Arthropoda; Insecta; Diptera; Tephritidae.
UCGCCUGUUUUUCAAAAACAUGUCUUUUUGAGUUAUUUUUAAAGUCUGACCUGCCCACUGAAAUUUUUAAAUGGCCGCAGUAUCCUAACUGUGCAAAGGUAGCAUAAUCAUUAGUCUUUUAAUUGAAGGCUGGUAUGAACGGUUGGACGAGGUAUAAGCUGUUUCAUAUAAAUUUAUAAUAGAAUUUUAUAUUUUAGUCAAAAAGCUAAAAUAUUAUUAAAAGACGAGAAGACCCUAUAAAUCUUUAUAUUUUUUUUUAUUUAGAUUUUUUGGAUUUAUUUUAUUUUUAUAAUAGAAAAUAUUUUGUUGGGGUGAUGUUAAAAUUUAAUGAACUUUUAAUUAUAAAAAAUCAUUAAUUUAUGAGUUACUGAUCCAUUAGUAGUGAUUAUAAGAUUAAGUUACUUUAGGGAUAACAGCGUAAUUUUUUUGGAGAGUUCAUAUCGAUAAAAAAGUUUGCGACCUCGAUGUUGGAUUAAGAUAUAAUUUUAGGUGUAGCCGCUUAAAUGUUAAGUCUGUUCGACUUUUAAAUUCUUACGUGAUCUGAGUUCAGACCGGA